AGAACGAACGCUGGCGGCAUGCCUAACACAUGCAAGUCGAACGGGACCUUCGGGUCUAGUGGCGCACGGGUGCGUAACGCGUGGGAAUCUGCCCUCAGGUACGGAAUAACUCAGGGAAACUUGAGCUAAUACCGUAUAAUGACUUCGGUCCAAAGAUUUAUCGCCUGAGGAUGAGCCCGCGUAGGAUUAGCUUGUUGGUGAGGUAAAAGCUCACCAAGGCGACGACGGGUAGCUGGUCUGAGAGGACGACCAGCCACACUGGAACUGAGAUACGGUCCAGACUCCUACGGGAGGCAGCAGUGGGGAAUCUUGCGCAAUGGGCGAAAGCCUGACGCAGCGACGCCGCGUGGGGAUGAAUGCUUCGGGUUGUAAACCCCUUUCGGCAGGGACGAAGCGAACGUGACGGUACCUGCAGAAGAAGCUCCGGCUAACUACGUGCCAGCCAGCCGC
Molecule: ribosomal RNA, 450 nt
Filed under: uncultured bacterium
Lineage: Bacteria
Description: SSU rRNA
Rfam family: Bacterial small subunit ribosomal RNA
Source: RNAcentral